CCCUUAGAUGUUCUGGGCCGCACGCGCGCUACAAUGGCAGACUCAGCGAGUUACCUCUGUCGAAAGGCACAGGGAAUCUUUACAGUAUCUGCCGUGAUGGGGAUAGACCCUUGUAAUUUUUGGUCUUCAACGAGGAAUUCCUAGUAAACGCAAGUCAUUAACUUGCAUUGAUUACGUCCCUGCCCUUUGUACACACCGCCCGUCGCACCUACCGAUUGAAUGGUCCGGUGAAGUCCUCGGACCCAGUUGAACCUCGAGUUGAACAGGGAAGGUUGACUAAAUCUUACCAUUUAGAGGAAGGUGAAGUCGUAACA
This 314-nucleotide ribosomal RNA is filed under the name uncultured eukaryote. RNAcentral describes it as "partial 18S ribosomal RNA". It matches the Rfam family "Eukaryotic small subunit ribosomal RNA", at positions 1470 to 1796 of the family's 1831-position model. The record is from RNAcentral.